AGAGCGAACGCUGGCGGCAGGCCUAACACAUGCAAGUCGAACGGUGAAGCCUUUCGGGGUGGAUCAGUGGCGAACGGGUGAGUAACACGUGAGUAAUCUGCCCUUGACUCUGGGAUAACUUCGGGAAAACCGUGGCUAAUACCGGAUAUGACGCAUGGUCGCAUGGUCUGUGUGUGGAAAGAUUUAUUGGUCAGGGAUGAGCUCGCGGCCUAUCAGCUUGUUGGUGGGGUAAUGGCCUACCAAGGCGACGACGGGUA
Molecule: ribosomal RNA, 257 nt
Filed under: uncultured bacterium
Lineage: Bacteria
Description: partial small subunit ribosomal RNA
Rfam family: Bacterial small subunit ribosomal RNA
Source: RNAcentral